This is a non-coding RNA of Paramuricea clavata, 839 nucleotides long. NCBI's taxonomy places the organism in Eukaryota, Metazoa, Cnidaria, Anthozoa, Malacalcyonacea, Plexauridae. The record is from the annotation of a GenBank genome assembly.
AAGUUUUAUGUCUGGGUGUGCUGUGCGGAACGUAUCAGCGAGAGAGCCUAGCAGAUUUCGUUAAAAUGGUCCCUGAUUUAAAAAAAGUGGUCCCUGGCCUGGUUACCAAGCAUACCGCAUUUGUAAUUAGAAAAUGUUAUGGAAAUUUCCUUUGCGUUUGUAAUUAAGUCAUUAGUUUUGCUCUAAUGCUGUCGGAACAAUGAAAUAGGCUACGUUUCGCUACCAUACAGUCCGAAUGGAAUAACGGGCCGGCUAAAUAUGACUUGUGUUUACUAAAAUAUAAAGCCUUAUUUUUCACCCUGCUCGGUUUCCUUUGUUCUUGUCGGGGAAUAUAUUCAAUAUUCUCCUCUAAUCAAUUUCCGUUUAAUAAUCCCCUCUAAUAUUCACCUGCAAUUAAUAAUCCCCUCUAAUAUUCACCUGCAAUGUCUUUGCAGCACAAAAAAUGAGAAAAAACAACAUCGCGAAGGCAAAAUGGCAUUAAGAAUUAUUUCUUUUCUGACUCAUUAACGCGACCUCGCAGUGUGAAAAAUAAGUACGUUAUUUUGAGGCACCUCGGGGAUAUGUGAUUUAUUCACCUCGGCGCUGCGCGCCUCGGUGAAUAAAUCACAUAUCCCCUCGUUGCCUCAAAAUAACCUAUACAUAUUAAAUGCUAUCUAGAAGCUUGAAAAUUAUGCCGGGUCUCCGACUAAAAAUGUUUUGACAACACAGUCAUGUCAGGUAAAUGUUUCCAAUCUCCUCAGCUACAUAAACCUGUCAAGUAGAAAGCGUAGUUGUGUAUACCAGUAUGGUCUAGUGACUAGUGUUGAUCACAACUUUCGAGUAUAUAAAUAACACCAACU